RNAcentral lists this ribosomal RNA (439 nucleotides) under uncultured bacterium. RNAcentral's name for it is "partial 16S ribosomal RNA". It matches the Rfam family "Bacterial small subunit ribosomal RNA", at positions 339 to 795 of the family's 1533-position model. The record is from RNAcentral.
CUACGGGCGGCUCCAGUGGGGAAUAUUGGACAAUGGAGGCAACUCUGAUCCAGCCAUGCCGCGUGAGUGAUGAAGGCCUUAGGGUUGUAAAGCUCUUUCGCCGGUGAAGAUGAUGACUGUAGCCGGUAAAGAAGCCCCGGCUAACUUCGUGCCAGCAGCCGCGGUAAUACGAAGGGGGCUAGCGUUGUUCGGAAUUACUGGGCGUAAAGCGCGCGUAGGCGGCUUGAUCAGGCAGAGGUGAAAUCCCAGGGCUCAACCCUGGAACUGCCUUUGAUACUGUCAAGCUAGAGCUCGGAAGAGGGUGGCGGAAUAUCCAGUGUAGAGGUGAAAUUCGUAGAUAUUGGAUAGAACACCAGUGGCGAAGGCGGCCACCUGGUCCGUAGCUGACGCUGAGGUGCGAAAGCGUGGGGAGCAAACAGGAUUAGAUACCCUUGUAGUC